RNAcentral lists this ribosomal RNA (250 nucleotides) under uncultured Acetobacteraceae bacterium. Its description in RNAcentral is "partial 16S ribosomal RNA". It matches the Rfam family "Bacterial small subunit ribosomal RNA", at positions 524 to 772 of the family's 1533-position model. Lineage: Bacteria; Pseudomonadati; Pseudomonadota; Alphaproteobacteria; Acetobacterales; Acetobacteraceae. The record is from RNAcentral.
UACGAAGGGGGCUAGCGUUGCUCGGAAUGACUGGGCGUAAAGGGCGCGUAGGCGGCCUGGACAGUCAGGUGUGAAAUUCCUGGGCUUAACCUGGGGGCUGCACUUGAUACGUGUGGGCUAGAGUAGGGAAGAGGGUCGUGGAAUUCCCAGUGUAGAGGUGAAAUUCGUAGAUAUUGGGAAGAACACCGGUGGCGAAGGCGGCGACCUGGUCCUUUUACUGACGCUGAGGCGCGAAAGCGUGGGGAGCAAA